GAUGAACGCUGGCGGCGUGCCUAAUACAUGCAAGUCGAGCGAACGGACGAGAAGCUUGCUUUUCUGAUGUUAGCGGCGGACGGGUGAGUAACACGUGUAUAACCUACCUAUAAGACUGGUAUAACUUCGGGAAACCGGAGCUAAUACCGUAUAAUAUUUUGAAGCGCAUGGGUCAAAAGUGAGAGACGGUCUUGCUGUCACGUAUAGAUGGAUCCGCGCUGCAUUAGCUAGUUGGUAAGGUUACGGCUUACCACGGCAACGAUGCAUAGACGACGUCAGAGGGUGGUAGCCCGCCCUGGAACGUGACCGGGCUCCUGAGUCCUACGAGACGGAGCAGUCGCCUACCUGACGCAGCGGGGGGAAGCAUGGCGCAGCAGCGCCGCGUGAGAGACGAAGGCCUCCGGAUCGUAAAACUGUGUUAUUAGGGAAAAACCUAUUUGUAAGUAACCGUACCCAUAGUGACGGUAACUAAUAAGAAAGCCCCGGCUAACUACGUG
This 497-nucleotide ribosomal RNA is filed under the name uncultured bacterium. RNAcentral's name for it is "partial 16S ribosomal RNA". It matches the Rfam family "Bacterial small subunit ribosomal RNA", at positions 28 to 507 of the family's 1533-position model. The record is from RNAcentral.